GACGAACGCUGGCGGCGUGCUUAACACAUGCAAGUCGAACGGAAAGGCCCUGCUUGCAGGGUACUCGAGUGGCGAACGGGUGAGUAACACGUGGGUGAUCUGCCCUGCACUUCGGGAUAAGCCUGGGAAACUGGGUCUAAUACCGGAUAGGAGCCAUUUUUAGUGUGAUGGUUGGAAAGUUUUUUCGGUGUAGGAUGAGCUCGCGGCCUAUCAGCUUGUUGGUGGGGUAAUGGCCUACCAAGGCGGCGACGGGUAGCCGGCCUGAGAGGGUGGACGGCCAGAUUGGGUGUGAGAUACUGCCCAGAAGUCUACGGGAGGCAGCAGCGGGGAAUAUUGCACAAUGGGUGCAAGACUGAUGCAGGGCCGCCGCGUGGGGGAUAACCGCCUUCGAGUUGUAAACUCCUUUCGCAAGGGACGAAGCGUUUUGUGACGGUACCUAGAUAAGAAGCACCGGCUAACUACGUG
Molecule: ribosomal RNA, 465 nt
Filed under: uncultured bacterium
Lineage: Bacteria
Description: partial 16S ribosomal RNA
Rfam family: Bacterial small subunit ribosomal RNA
Source: RNAcentral